RNAcentral lists this non-coding RNA (89 nucleotides) under Pseudomonas sp. SJZ131. The record is from RNAcentral. Lineage: Bacteria; Pseudomonadati; Pseudomonadota; Gammaproteobacteria; Pseudomonadales; Pseudomonadaceae.
UGUAGGAGUGAGCCUGCUCGCGAUAGCGGUUGAUAUUCAGCACACGUAUUGACUGACAUGGCGCUAUCGCGAGCAGGCUCACUCCCACA